ACUUCAGCCUUGAUGAACAAAUUCGAACACCAGUUUGAAAUAUUGGAUAUUCAAACACAACAAAUGGAGGAUAAAAUGAGUAACUCUACAACCCUAACAACACCACAAGCCGGAGAGUGAAUCGGGUCUCCC
RNAcentral lists this long non-coding RNA (132 nucleotides) under Papio anubis (olive baboon). Its description in RNAcentral is "lncRNA (ENSPANG00000036221.2)". The record is from RNAcentral. Lineage: Eukaryota; Metazoa; Chordata; Mammalia; Primates; Cercopithecidae.